GCGGGUAUAGUUUAGUGGUAAAACCU
Molecule: transfer RNA, 26 nt
Filed under: Angiopteris evecta
Lineage: Eukaryota; Viridiplantae; Streptophyta; Polypodiopsida; Marattiales; Marattiaceae
Description: partial tRNA-Gly
Source: RNAcentral